RNAcentral lists this ribosomal RNA (251 nucleotides) under uncultured bacterium. RNAcentral describes it as "partial 16S ribosomal RNA". It matches the Rfam family "Bacterial small subunit ribosomal RNA", at positions 524 to 775 of the family's 1533-position model. The record is from RNAcentral.
UACGUAGGGAGCGAGCGUUAUCCGGAUUCAUUGGGCGUAAAGAGUUCGUAGGCGGCUUAUUAAGUCUAAGAUUAAAGCCCGGAGCUUAACUCCGGUUCGUUUUAGAUACUGGUAGGCUUGAGUGUGGUAGAGGCAAAUGGAAUUCCUAGUGUAGCGGCGAAAUGCGUAGAUAUUAGGAGGAACACCAGUGGCGAAGGCGGUUUGCUGGGCCAUAACUGACGCUGAGGAACGAAAGCGUGGGGAGCGAAUAG